GGGUGUGUAGUUCAGUGGUAGAACGCCAUUCUGAUAAAAUGGAGGCCGUAGGUUCAAUUCCUACCACACCCA
Molecule: transfer RNA, 72 nt
Filed under: bacterium
Lineage: Bacteria
Description: tRNA-Ile
Rfam family: tRNA
About the family: Transfer RNA (tRNA) molecules are approximately 80 nucleotides in length.
Source: RNAcentral